AGUGAACGCUGGCGGUAGGCCUAACACAUGCGAGUCGAACGGCAGCACAGUAAGAGCUUGCUCUUACGGGUGGCGAGUGGCGGACGGGUGAGGAAUACAUCGGAAUCUACUUUUUCGUGGGGGAUAACGUAGGGAAACUUACGCUAAUACCGCAUACGACCUACGGGUGAAAGCAGGGGAUCUUCGGACCUUGCGCGAUUGAAUGAGCCGAUGUCGGAUUAGCUAGUUGGCGGGGUAAAGGCCCACCAAGGCGACGAUCCGUAGCUGGUCUGAGAGGAUGAUCAGCCACACUGGAACUGAGACACGGUCCAGACUCCUACGGGAGGCAGCAGUGGGGAAUAUUGGACAAUGGGCGCAAGCCUGAUCCAGCCAUACCGCGUGGGUGAAGAAGGCCUUCGGGUUGUAAAGCCCUUUUGUUGGGAAAGAAAAGCAGCAGGUUAAUACCCCGCUGUUCUGACGGUACCCAGAGAAUAAGCACCGGCUAACUUCGUG
Molecule: ribosomal RNA, 492 nt
Filed under: uncultured bacterium
Lineage: Bacteria
Description: partial 16S ribosomal RNA
Rfam family: Bacterial small subunit ribosomal RNA
Source: RNAcentral